This 269-nucleotide ribosomal RNA is filed under the name uncultured bacterium. RNAcentral's name for it is "partial 16S ribosomal RNA". It matches the Rfam family "Bacterial small subunit ribosomal RNA", at positions 793 to 1055 of the family's 1533-position model. The record is from RNAcentral.
GUCCUGGCCGUAAACGAUGGGCACUAACUAGAAGUCUCACCUGUGGGAUUUCUGGUGAAGCAAAUGUGAUAAGUGCCCCGCCUGGGAAGUAUGGUCGCAAGGCUAAAACUCAAAGGAAUUGACGGGGGCUCACACAAGCGGUGGAGCAUGUGGUUCAAUUCGACGCAACGCGAAGAACCUUACCUAGGCUUGACAUGCAGGGAUUAGAUCCGUGAAAGCGGGUCGAUUGCCUUCGGGUGUAACCUGCACAGGUGUUGCAUGGCUGUCGU